RNAcentral lists this ribosomal RNA (253 nucleotides) under uncultured bacterium. Its description in RNAcentral is "partial 16S ribosomal RNA". It matches the Rfam family "Bacterial small subunit ribosomal RNA", at positions 524 to 776 of the family's 1533-position model. The record is from RNAcentral.
UACGUAGGGUGCGAGCGUUAAUCGGAAUUACUGGGCGUAAAGCGUGCGCAGGCGGUUUGUUAAGACAGGUGUGAAAUCCCCGGGCUUAACCUGGGAAUGGCGCUUGUUACUGGCAGGCUAGAGUGUGUCAGAGGGGGGUAGAAUUCCACGUGUAGCAGUGAAAUGCGUAGAGAUGUGGAGGAAUACCGAUGGCGAAGGCAGCCUCCUGGGACAACACUGACGCUCAUGCACGAAAGCGUGGGGAGCAAACAGG